GAUGAACGCUGGCGGCGUGCCUAAUACAUGCAAGUCGAGCGAACAGACGAGGAGCUUGCUCCUCUGACGUUAGCGGCGGACGGGUGAGUAACACGUGGAUAACCUACCUAUAAGACUGGGAUAACUUCGGGAAACCGGAGCUAAUACCGGAUAAUAUAUUGAAGCGCAUGGUUCAAUAGUGAAAGACGGUUUUGCUGUCAGUUCUAGAUGGAUCCGCGCCGCUUUAGCUAGUUGGUAAGGUAACGGGUUACCAAGGCAACGAUGCGUAGCCGAGCUGAGAGGCUGGUCGCCCACACUGGAGCUUAGCCACGGUCCAGACUCCUACGAGAGGGAGCAGUAGGGUAUCUUCCGCAAUGGGCGAGAGCAUGACGGAGCAGCGCCGCGUGAGUGAUGAAGGUCUUCGGAUCGUAAAACUCUGUUAUUAGGGAAGAACAAAUGUGUAAGUAACUAUGCACGUCUUGACGGUACCUAAUCAGAAAGCCACGGCUAACUACGUG
Molecule: ribosomal RNA, 497 nt
Filed under: uncultured bacterium
Lineage: Bacteria
Description: partial 16S ribosomal RNA
Rfam family: Bacterial small subunit ribosomal RNA
Source: RNAcentral